Molecule: transfer RNA, 129 nt
Filed under: Jimgerdemannia flammicorona
Lineage: Eukaryota; Fungi; Mucoromycota; Endogonomycetes; Endogonales; Endogonaceae
Description: tRNA-His
Rfam family: tRNA
About the family: Transfer RNA (tRNA) molecules are approximately 80 nucleotides in length. Their secondary structure includes four short double-helical elements and three loops (D, anti-codon, and T loops). Further hydrogen bonds mediate the characteristic L-shaped molecular structure. tRNAs have two regions of fundamental functional importance: the anti-codon, which is responsible for specific mRNA codon recognition, and the 3' end, to which the tRNAs corresponding amino acid is attached (by aminoacyl-tRNA synthetases). tRNAs cope with the degeneracy of the genetic code in two manners: having more than one tRNA (with a specific anti-codon) for a particular amino acid; and 'wobble' base-pairing, i.e. permitting non-standard base-pairing at the 3rd anti-codon position.
Source: RNAcentral
GAAGCUUUAGCUAAAGGGUAAAGCGAUUGAUAGACUGUGACACACUGUGUAUAAAUAUUUGGGUCUAAAAGCCCAAUCUUAUAUGCAGUGGUAUAUCGAUAGAUCAGGGUUCGAAUCCUUGGGUCUUCA